UUGCAGAGGAUGCUUCGGGAGCGGCCCCCAUCUAAGUGCCCUGGAACGGGCCGUCAUAGAGGGUGAGAAUCCCGUCUGGGAUGGGGUGCCCGCGCCCGUGUGAAGCUCCUUCGACGAGUCGAGUUGUUUGGGAAUGCAGCUCUAAAUGGGUGGUAAAUUUCAUCUAAAGCUAAAUACUGGCCGGAGACCGAUAGCGCACAAGUAGAGUGAUCGAAAGAUGAAAAGCACUUUGAAAAGAGAGUUAAACAGCACGUGAAAUUGUUGAAAGGGAAGCGCUUGCGACCAGACUCGCCCACGGGGUUCAGCCGGCAUUCGUGCCGGUGUACUUCCCCGCGGGCGGGCCAGCGUCGGUUUGGGCGGCCGGUCAAAGGCCCUCGGAAUGUAACGCCCCCCGGGGCGUCUUAUAGCCGAGGGUGCCAUGCGGCCAGCCCGGACCGAGGAACGCGCUUCGGCUCGGACGCUGGCAUAAUGGUCGUAAGCGACCCGUCUUGA
This 492-nucleotide ribosomal RNA is filed under the name soil fungal sp. DM019. RNAcentral's name for it is "eukaryotic LSU rRNA". It matches the Rfam family "Eukaryotic large subunit ribosomal RNA", at positions 150 to 657 of the family's 3401-position model. Lineage: Eukaryota; Fungi. The record is from RNAcentral.